GUCUACGGCCAUGCCACCCUGAACACACCCGAUCUCGUCUGAUUUUGGAAGCUAAGCAGGGUCAGGCCUAGUUAGUACUUGGAUGGGAGACCACCUAGAAAUACCGGGUGCUGUAGGCA
Molecule: ribosomal RNA, 119 nt
Filed under: Pteropus alecto (black flying fox)
Lineage: Eukaryota; Metazoa; Chordata; Mammalia; Chiroptera; Pteropodidae
Source: RNAcentral